CAGAGUUGACUGUGGCACCUCAAAGCAAGGCCCUGCUCCAGGGACGCACCCAACACUUCCAUAUCACCUCAAGGUAAGCCAGGUGCAUUUCAGCCAAGAUGGUCACUUCUGUCCUUGCCCAUAAGUAUGCCCCUCUUUCUGACCAAAUUGUGGGGAUCCAGCUGGUCCUUCUGCCCCCAGGGCUACCUUUCGCCAGCCAGCCCCCAGGAGGUCGCCCUCUGCAGAGUCUCCGAUUGGCACCUGUCUUCCAUCUCUUGGCAUCUUGGGGCCUGUCCUCACUCACAAGGACUGGGCAGUUCCAGAGUACAGCUGAGCCAGCCAGGAGGCAGAGGGAGUGGCCAGAGGGGCUGCGGGGAAGCCCCAGGGUGGCCACCUAACUGAGCCUGGGACUCCCUGAAACAGCCGAUCACCGAAUGCCAUCUAUUGCACUGUGGGAGGAAGGGCGUCUCACGCUGCAGAGCCCUGUGGGUUCCACUAGCCACUGAUGUCCAUCGGGUAAAGGAAUUGGAAGAGUCACAACUUGAAAGAGACUCGUGUCUCUCUACUACCUCUCUGUCCACCUCAGCACACCUCCACAGCCAGAACCUCAGCUUGCAGCCCUGAGGCUGGGGGGCAAGGGCUGGGAAGGAGGCCCGUAGAGCUGUCCCCUCGUGCUCAGACUGCGAUGCAGAGAUGGGGUCCUGGGGAAGGGUAGUGAGGACACCCGCAUCAGAAAGACGAGGACAGGGACCUCAACUGUGAGCCCUGCCUUUUUGUUCCAGCAUUAACUGUGGGGAGGCAGGAGGGGCCUGAGGUUCAGGGACGGUCACUGCUCAGGGUUGUGAUGCUGUGGAGUUGCUAGAUCCUACAGGAGCACGUGACAACUGGCCUGUGAAUGUGGCUGCCUGGAUGAAGGGCCUACGGGCAUUUCUCUGGACAGAAAUAAAGCAGGAAAAAUAAGCAAUUGUCACCUCUCGUCCAGCACUUGUACGUGAGGCCCAGGGAAGCUCCCCCUGUAGACUGGAUCCCAGUGGACAUGACAGAGGCAGGGCCACGCCGGGGGAUCGCCAGGAUGGGUGCCCGUGGAGAAGCCUGGAGGAAGCCCCGGGUGCGCGGCAGGAGGGCUCAUGUGGCCAGCCCUUUCCUCCCGGGGUCCCGGGGUCCCGACUCGGCCAUCUUAAACCUGGGAAGAAAAGCAAAUGGUCACACGUGCCCCUGAGGGUGCUUCCCCCACUUCUCGGCCAAUGGUGGAUGGGAUGUCCCUGAUGGGGGAGCCACUGCUGCUCUGGUGGGGACAGGGCGCCACUUGUUCUAAAGCCUCUCAGAAAAGAAAGGCAGGCAGAGGGGAAAGGAAAAGAAAUGGGACGAGGUGCAGGCGAGAAGGGGCCGUGGCCUGAGCUGCCCACAGGGAACAGGCACCAACGCCCUGGGACAGUCGCGUCACCAGGGGAAGGAACUUGACCCAACAGCAGCCCAGCUCCCGCCUUCCGUGAGGGAGGGCAGGGGCGUCCAGGCUCUGCACUGCCAGCUACUCAGGAUGGCUCCUCACUCCCCGUGGCUAGGGUGGGGCCGAGGCCCACCCAGAGCGAGGGCCCCCAAGAGUGACCAGAGGACUCAGGUGGAAACACUGUUUGCAGGUCAUCUAAGAGGGGGAGACCAGAACAGCACUGAGGGUACAGGUCCUUGGCAACCCGGAAUGUUCCCCAGGGCCCUGGCGGUCACUGACAGAUGUGGGGCCAGGCCCUCAGUGUCCAUUGGUGCACUUGGGAACGUGGAGGGCGCCCCAGCUCCUCAUUUGGUGCUCACCUCCUUGGUCCCUGAGGACAUUCUGGGGGUGGACAUCCUGCUAGGAAAGACAUGGCAGAACCCCAUGGAGGUCCCCAAAGUCCAGGUAAAGCAACGUGGGAGAAGCACGGCCAGACCCCGCUAGGCUUCCUGACCCGAGGUGGGCAGUGCACCCGGGAGGCUCAAGGACCUUUCCACCUGCUACAGCUCCUUCGACAGCCCUGGCUGGCCCUAAGACAGCCUUGAGCACGAGGGAGUCAGGUGGGUGACACCUCCGCGCAGUGACACCUCUGCCCACACCGCCACACCCACACAGCAACGGGAGGACAAGGGCCCCCUCGGCUCUGCACAGCCUCCACUGGAGUUGGCCAGUGCCUUUCCUGGUGCCCCUUUACAGCUGGACUUGCAAGACCAGAGGACGGAGCACGGGCCCCACCAUUCUGGCCCCUGCUGGUACUACUGCCCACUCUCUCGA
RNAcentral lists this long non-coding RNA (2239 nucleotides) under Marmota monax (woodchuck). Lineage: Eukaryota; Metazoa; Chordata; Mammalia; Rodentia; Sciuridae. The record is from RNAcentral.